AGUGAACGCUGGCGGUAGGCCUAACACAUGCAAGUCGAACGGCAGCACAGUAAGAGCUUGCUCUUACGGGUGGCGAGUGGCGGACGGGUGAGGAAUACAUCGGAAUCUACUUUUUCGUGGGGGAUAACGUAGGGAAACUUACGCUAAUACCGCAUACGACCUACGGGUGAAAGCAGGGGAUCUUCGGACCUUGCGCGAUUGAAUAAGCCGAUGUCGGAUUAGCUAGUUGGCGGGGUAAAGGCCCACCAAGGCGACGAUCCGUAGCUGGUCUGAGAGGAUGAUCGGCCACACUGGAACUGAGACACGGUCCAGACUCCUACGGGAGGCAGCAGUGGGGAAUAUUGGACAAUGGGCGCAAGCCUGAUCCAGCCAUACCGCGUGGGUGAAGAAGGCCUUCGGGUUGUAAAGCCCUUUUGUUGGGAAAGAAAAGCAGCAGGUUAAUACCCCGCUGUUCUGACGGUACCCAAAGAAUAAGCACCGGCUAACUUCGUG
RNAcentral lists this ribosomal RNA (492 nucleotides) under uncultured bacterium. RNAcentral's name for it is "partial 16S ribosomal RNA". It matches the Rfam family "Bacterial small subunit ribosomal RNA", at positions 29 to 507 of the family's 1533-position model. The record is from RNAcentral.